This 378-nucleotide ribosomal RNA is filed under the name Pinnularia sp. NE-L16. RNAcentral's name for it is "SSU rRNA". It matches the Rfam family "Eukaryotic small subunit ribosomal RNA", at positions 582 to 968 of the family's 1831-position model. The record is from RNAcentral. Lineage: Eukaryota; Bacillariophyta; Bacillariophyceae; Sellaphorales; Pinnulariaceae. RNAcentral also lists the same sequence under 1 other name.
AUUCCAGCUCCAAUAGCGUAUAUUAAAGUUGUUGCAGUUAAAAAGCUAGUAGUUGGAUUUGUGGUGCUGCCUGCAGUCCAAUUAGCUUUGGUGCUAGCGGGUGGUGCCAUCUUUGGGUGGAACCUGUAGGGCAUUAGCUUGUUUUGCAGGGGAUAUUCAUCGUUUACUGUGAAAAAAUUAGAGUGUUCAAAGCAGGCUUAGGCCGUUGAAUAUACUAGCAUGGAAUAAUGAAAUAGGACUUUGGUACUAUUUUGUUGGUUUGCGCGCCGAAGUAAUGAUUAAUAGGGACAGUUGGGGGUAUUCGUAUUCCAUAGUCAGAGGUGAAAUUCUUGGAUUUUUGGAAGACGAACUACUGCGAAAGCAUUUACCAAGGAUGUU